This 253-nucleotide ribosomal RNA is filed under the name uncultured bacterium. Its description in RNAcentral is "partial 16S ribosomal RNA". It matches the Rfam family "Bacterial small subunit ribosomal RNA", at positions 524 to 776 of the family's 1533-position model. The record is from RNAcentral.
UACGGAGGGGGCUAGCGUUGUUCGGAAUUACUGGGCGUAAAGCGCACGUAGGCGGCGAUCCAAGUCAGGGGUGAAAUCCCGGGGCUCAACCCCGGAACUGCCCUUGAAACUAGGUUGCUAGAAUCCUGGAGAGGCGAGUGGAAUUCCGAGUGUAGAGGUGAAAUUCGUAGAUAUUCGGAAGAACACCAGUGGCGAAGGCGGCUCACUGGACUGGUAUUGACGCUGAGGUGCGAAAGCGUGGGGAGCAAACAGG